AGAUAGACUGGCGCUCCCUGAGGGA
This 25-nucleotide non-coding RNA is filed under the name Rattus norvegicus (Norway rat). The record is from RNAcentral. Lineage: Eukaryota; Metazoa; Chordata; Mammalia; Rodentia; Muridae.